Molecule: long non-coding RNA, 696 nt
Filed under: Lotus japonicus
Lineage: Eukaryota; Viridiplantae; Streptophyta; Magnoliopsida; Fabales; Fabaceae
Description: long non-coding RNA (LJAP_LNC000078)
Source: RNAcentral
AAUUCUGGUUCAGUGAAUAAUUUUCACUCUAAUGAUCACUACAAUGGUGAUCAUACCUUUUUUACUGAGGAUAUUCAGUCUACACAUUCUGAUGUUAAUCAAGCAUCACAUGCUUCUCAUGUUUCAGUUCCUGGUUCUAGUUCUAAUGCUGCAUCUUCUUCCUCAGCUUCAGCACCACAGAUUCAAGACUUCACACCAGAUCAGUUUCAGAAGUUGUUGAAAUUGAUCCAAGGAAAUGAUUCUCAGUUUGUCAAUUCCACACAAAUUAACCAGUUGAGGAUUCAUGAGAAUCCGCACAAUGUCAAUCAGUUUAAUGUUCAGCAUAAAAGUCAUUAAAAUUCACAUGUGACAGGAAAAGGUAGAACCAUCAUUUUAUCCUCUUAUUCUACUUCUGCAAAAGCUUGUAGUUCGUGGAUAUUAGAUUCAGGAGCUACUGAUCAUGUGUGUUCCUCAUUGGACCUGUAUCAUUCUUUUUCCAAGAUUAAACCUAUACAUGUUCAAUUACCAAAUGGUACUCUGGUCAAGGCACACUUGGCUGGUAUUAUUGCGUUCUCCCCCUUAUUAUCCAUCAAAAAUGUCCUUUAUGUACCAGAAUUCAGUUUUAAUAUUGUCUCCACCUCAAAAUUAUGUGAACAUUUGUCAUGUGUUUUUCAAUCCUAUUACUCACAUUCAUUGAUACAGGACCUCAAUUCCCAG